GACGGGGAGCACCACAACGGGUGGAGCUUGCGGUUUAAUUGGAUUCAACGCCGGAAAUCUUACCGGGACCGACAGCAAUAUGAAGGCCAGGCUGAAGACUUUGCCGGAUUAGCUGAGAGGUGGUGCAUGGCCGUCGUCAGUUCGUACUGUGAAGCAUCCUGUUAAGUCAGGCAACGAGCGAGACCCACGCCCACAGUUGCCAGCGUACUCUCUGGAGUGACGGGUACACUGUGGGAACCGCCGCUGCUAAAGCGGAGGAAGGAAUGGGCAACGGUAGGUCAGUAUGCCCCGAAUAUCCCGGGCUACACGCGAGCUACAAUGGUUGGUACAAUGGGUAUCUACCCCGAAAGGGGACGGGAAUCUCCUAAAACCAAUCUUAGUUCGGAUUGAGGGCUGCAACUCGCCCUCAUGAAGCUGGAAUCCGUAGUAAUCGCGUUUCAACAGAACGCGGUGAAUACGUCCCUGCUCCUU
RNAcentral lists this ribosomal RNA (471 nucleotides) under uncultured Methanosaeta sp. RNAcentral's name for it is "bacterial SSU rRNA". It matches the Rfam family "Archaeal small subunit ribosomal RNA", at positions 871 to 1337 of the family's 1478-position model. The record is from RNAcentral. Lineage: Archaea; Methanobacteriati; Methanobacteriota; Methanomicrobia; Methanotrichales; Methanotrichaceae.